Non-coding RNA from Conger conger (European conger), 415 nucleotides. The record is from the annotation of a RefSeq genome assembly. Lineage: Eukaryota; Metazoa; Chordata; Actinopteri; Anguilliformes; Congridae.
CUAUCAUCACAGACUGCAGUCAAAGACUUUCACCAUGACUGUUAUAACCAGCCUGCUUCUGAUUACAGUGUUCUUUACAAGUGUUGAAUGUCAGACACUGACUGAGUCUGAACCAGCAGUUAAAAAGCCUGGAGAAUCCCACACACUGACCUGUACAGCCUCUGGGUUCACAUUCAGCGGCUACUAUAUGAACUGGGUCAGACAGGCUCCUGGGAAGGGACUGGAGUGGGUGGCCGCGAUCAGUAAUGGUGGUGGUGGCAGCACAUGGUAUGGCACGGCUGUUCAGGGAAGAUUCACCAUCUCCAGAGACGACUCCAACAACAAGCUGUAUUUACAGAUGAACAGCCUGACAGCAGAAGACACUGCCGUGUAUUACUGUGCCAGAGACAGUCACCUGCUAAUCUGCAGGCUGUAA